Molecule: ribosomal RNA, 253 nt
Filed under: uncultured bacterium
Lineage: Bacteria
Description: partial 16S ribosomal RNA
Rfam family: Bacterial small subunit ribosomal RNA
Source: RNAcentral
UACGAAGGGGGCUAGCGUUGUUCGGAAUCACUGGGCGUAAAGGGCGCGUAGGCGGCCGAUCAAGUCGGGGGUGAAAGCCUGUGGCUCAACCACAGAAUUGCCUUCGAUACUGUUUGGCUUGAGACCGGAAGAGGUAAGUGGAACUGCGAGUGUAGAGGUGAAAUUCGUAGAUAUUCGCAAGAACACCAGUGGCGAAGGCGGCUUACUGGUCCGGUACUGACGCUGAGGCGCGAAAGCGUGGGGAGCAAACAGG